AUCGAAAGUCUGAACGAGAAAAAUCCUGCUUGCGGGAUGAGUAAAGUGGCGCACGGGUGAGUAACACGUGGGUAAUCUACCCUUGAGACAGGGAUAACAUUCCGAAAGGGGUGCUAAUACCCGAUACGAUGAGGGCAUCAAAAGCUGCCUUCAUGAAAGGUGACCUCUUGACAAAGUUGCCGCUCAUGGAUGAGCCCGCGUCCCAUUAGCUUGUUGGUGGGGUAAUGGCCUACCAAGGCAAAGAUGGGUAGCUGGUCUGAGAGGACGAUCAGCCACACUGGAACUGAGAUACGGUCCAGACUCCUACGGGAGGCAGCAGUGGGGAAUAUUGCGCAAUGGGGGAAACCCUGACGCAGCAACGCCGCGUGAGUGAUGAAGGCCUUCGGGUCGUAAAGCUCUGUCAGGUGGAAAGAAGAGGCCGAUUCCGAAUAAGGGUUGGUCUUGACGGUACCACCAAAGGAAGCACCGGCUAACUCCGUGCCAGCAGCCGCGGUAAUACGGAGGGUGCGAGCGUUGUUCGGAAUUAUUGGGCGUAAAGCGCGUGCAGGCGGCCUGUUAAGUCAGUUGUGAAAGACCUUAGCUCAACUAAGGAAUGUCAUCUGAAACUGGCAGGCUUGAGUACGGGAGAGGAGGGUGGAAUUCCCGGUGUAGAGGUGAAAUUCGUAGAUAUCGGGAGGAACACCCGUGGCGAAGGCGACUCUCUGGACCGAUACUGACGCUGAGACGCGAAAGCGUGGGGAGCAAACAGGAUUAGAUACCCUGGUAGUCCACGCCGUAAACGAUGGGCACUAGGUGUAGAGGGUAUUGACCCCUUCUGUGCCGAAGCUAACGCAUUAAGUGCCCCGCCUGGGAAGUACGGCCGCAAGGCUA
This 870-nucleotide ribosomal RNA is filed under the name uncultured bacterium. Its description in RNAcentral is "bacterial SSU rRNA". It matches the Rfam family "Bacterial small subunit ribosomal RNA", at positions 55 to 896 of the family's 1533-position model. The record is from RNAcentral.